This is a regulatory RNA element of Meleagris gallopavo (turkey), 46 nucleotides long. It matches the Rfam family "Histone 3' UTR stem-loop". From Rfam's summary of the family: The mRNAs of metazoan histone genes lack a poly-A tail. 3' end processing occurs at a site between a highly conserved stem-loop (modelled by this family) and a purine rich region around 20 nts downstream (the histone downstream element, or HDE). NCBI's taxonomy places the organism in Eukaryota, Metazoa, Chordata, Aves, Galliformes, Phasianidae. The record is from Rfam.
CCAAAGGCUCUUUUCAGAGCCACCUACUCUUUCACUAAAAGAGCUA